This 506-nucleotide ribosomal RNA is filed under the name uncultured bacterium. Its description in RNAcentral is "partial 16S ribosomal RNA". It matches the Rfam family "Bacterial small subunit ribosomal RNA", at positions 29 to 523 of the family's 1533-position model. The record is from RNAcentral.
AUUGAACGCUGGCGGCAGGCCUAACACAUGCAAGUCGGACGGUAGCACAGAGGAGCUUGCUCCUCGGGUGACGAGUGGCGGACGGGUGAGUAAUGUCUGGGGAUCUGCCCGAUAGAGGGGGAUAACCACUGGAAACGGUGGCUAAUACCGCAUAACGUCGCAAGACCAAAGAGGGGGACCUUCGGGCCUCUCACUAUCGGAUGAACCCAGAUGGGAUUAGCUAGUAGGCGAGGUAACGACCCACCUAGGCGACGAUCCCUAGCUGGUCUGAGAGGAUGACCAGCCACACUGGAACUGAGACACGGUCCAGACUCCUACGGGAGGCAGCAGUGGGGAAUAUUGCACAAUGGGCGCAAGCCUGAUGCAGCCAUGCCGCGUGUAUGAAGAAGGCCUUCGGGUUGUAAAGUACUUUCAGCGGGGAGGAGGGCGAUGUGGUUAAUAACCGUAUCGAUUGACGUUACCCGCAGAAGAAGCACCGGCUAACUCCGUGCCAGCCGCCGCGGUAA